GACGAACGCUGGCGGCGUGCUUAACACAUGCAAGUCGAACGGGCCCGCUCUCUUUUUUGGGGGUGGGUUGAGUGGCGAACGGGUGAGUAUCACGUGAGUAACCUGCCCCCUGCUCCUGGAUAACUGCUUGAAAGGGCGGCUAAUACGGGGUGUGCCGGCUGGUCCGCAUGGGCCUGGUCGGGAUAGUUUCAUCUUCGGGUGUUUCGGUGGGGGAUGGGCUCGGGGCCUAUCAGCUUGUUGGUGGGGUGAUGGCCCACCAAGGCGGUGACGGGUAGCCGGCCUGAGAGGGUGGGCGGCCACACUGGGACUGAGACACGGCCCAGAGUACUGCGGGAGGCAGCAGUGGGGGGUAGUGCACAAGGGGCGGAAGCCUGAUGCAGCGACGGCGCGUGAGGGAUGGAGGCCUUCGGGUUGUGAACCUCUUUCUCCGGUGGUGAAGGCCCUGUCCGUUGCGGCGGGGUUGACGGUAGCCGGGUAUGAAGCGCCGGCUAACUACGUG
This 499-nucleotide ribosomal RNA is filed under the name uncultured bacterium. Its description in RNAcentral is "partial 16S ribosomal RNA". It matches the Rfam family "Bacterial small subunit ribosomal RNA", at positions 28 to 507 of the family's 1533-position model. The record is from RNAcentral.